AGUAGCAAUACUUAGUGGCAGACGGGUGAGUAACAUGUAGGUAUCUUCCCAUUGGUGAGGAAUAACACGAGGAAACUUGUGCUAAUACCUCAUAAGUCUUUACGGAGAAAGCUUUAUGCGCCGAUGGAUGAGCCUGCACUUGAUUAGUUUGUCGGUAGGGUAAUGGCCUACCAAGACAAUGAUCAAUAGCUGAUUUGAGAGGAUGAUCAGCCACAUUGGGACUGAGACACGGCCCAAACUCCUACGGGAGGCAGCAGUAGGGAAUCUUGCACAAUGGGGGAAACCCUGAUGCAGCGAUGCCGCGUGAGUGAAGAAGGCCUUUGGGUUGUAAAGCUCUUUCGUCGGGGAAGAAAAUGACUGUACCCGAAUAAGAAGGUCCGGCUAACUUCGUGCCAGCAGCCGCGGUAAUACGAAGGGACCUAGCGUAGUUCGGAAUUACUGGGCUUAAAGAGUUCGUAGGCGGUUAAAAAAGUUGGUGGUGAAAUCCCAGAGCUUAACUCUGGAACUGCCAUCAAAACUUUUUAGCUAGAGUAUGAUAGAGGAAAGCAGAAUUUCUAGUGUAGAGGUGAAAUUCGUAGAUAUUAGAAAGAAUACCAAUUGCGAAGGCAGCUUUCUGGAUCAUUACUGACGCUGAGGAACGAAAGCAUGGGUAGCGAAGAGGAUUAGAUACCCUCGUAGUCCAUGCCGUAAACGAUGUGUGUUAGACGUUGGAAAUUUAUUUUCUGUGUCGCAGCGAAAGCAAUAAACACACCGCCUGGGGAGUACGACCGCAAGGUUAAAACUCAAAUGAAUUGACGGGGACCCGCACAAGUAGUGGAGCAUGUGGUUUGAUUCGAAGAUACGCGCAGAACCUUACCAACACUUGACAUGUUCGUCGCGACUUUAAGAGAUUAAAGUUUUCGGUUCGGCCGGACGAAACACAGGUGCUGCAUGGCUGUCGUCAGCUCGUGUCGUGAGAUGUUGGGUUAAGUCCCGCAACGAGCGCAACCCUUACUUUUAGUUGCCAUCAUUUAGUUGGGCACUCU
This 1025-nucleotide ribosomal RNA is filed under the name uncultured marine bacterium. RNAcentral's name for it is "bacterial SSU rRNA". It matches the Rfam family "Bacterial small subunit ribosomal RNA", at positions 81 to 1141 of the family's 1533-position model. The record is from RNAcentral.